GCAUCGAUGAAGAACGCAGCGAAAUGCGAUAAGUAAUGUGAAUUGCAGAAUUCAGUGAAUCAUCGAAUCUUUGAACGCACAUUGCGCCCCUUGGUAUUCCGAGGGGCAUGCCUGUUCGAGCGUCAUUAUAACCACUCAAGCCUCGGCUUGGUCUUGGGGUUCGCGGUCUCGCGGCCCUUAAAAUCAGUGGCGGUACCGUCUGGCUCUAAGCGUAGUAAUUCUCUCGCUAUAGGGUCUAGGCGACCACCUGCCAUAACCCCCCAUUCUUUACGGUUGACCUCGGAUCAGGUAGGGAUACCCGCUGAACUUAAGCAUAUCAAUAAGCGGAGGA
This 331-nucleotide ribosomal RNA is filed under the name uncultured Pezizomycotina. RNAcentral describes it as "eukaryotic LSU rRNA". The stretch from base 1 to 125 matches the Rfam family "5.8S ribosomal RNA", at positions 30 to 154 of the family's 154-position model. Lineage: Eukaryota; Fungi; Ascomycota. The record is from RNAcentral.